Acanthosepion pharaonis is the source of this 110-nucleotide non-coding RNA. The record is from the annotation of a GenBank genome assembly. NCBI's taxonomy places the organism in Eukaryota, Metazoa, Mollusca, Cephalopoda, Sepiida, Sepiidae.
GGCCAUAUUCCGUCGACACACUGGUUCUCAUCUGAUCACCGUAGUUAAGUAACGUUGAAUCUGGUCAGUAACUAGAUGGGUUCCCGCUUGGAAAUACCAGGUGUCGUACG